CACGUAGGCGGACUCUUAAGUCGGGGGUGAAAUCCUGGAGCUCAACUCCAGAACUGCCUUCGAUACUGAGAGUCUUCGAGUUCGGGAGAGGUGAGUGGAACUGCGAGUGUAGAGGUGAAAUUCGUAGAUAUUCGCAAGAACACCAGUGGCGAAGGCGGCUCACUGGCCCGAUACUGACGCUGAGGUGCGAAAGCGUGGGGAGCAACA
Molecule: ribosomal RNA, 207 nt
Filed under: uncultured bacterium
Lineage: Bacteria
Description: partial 16S ribosomal RNA
Rfam family: Bacterial small subunit ribosomal RNA
Source: RNAcentral